RNAcentral lists this ribosomal RNA (461 nucleotides) under uncultured bacterium. RNAcentral describes it as "bacterial SSU rRNA". It matches the Rfam family "Bacterial small subunit ribosomal RNA", at positions 41 to 487 of the family's 1533-position model. The record is from RNAcentral.
GGCGGGCCUAACACAUCAAGUCGAGCGAGAAAGUGGCUUCGGCCAUCAGUAAAGCGCGGACGGGUAGUAACACGUAGGUAGUCUUCCCUUGAGCGGGGGACAACGUUUCGAAAGGAACGCUAAUACCGCAUACGUUUCCGAGGACCCCGGUCCUCGGAAGGAAAGCUAGGUCGCAAGAUCCGGCACUCGAGGAGGAGCCUGCGUCGCAUCAGCUAGUUGGUGGGGUAACGGCCUACCAAGGCGAAGACGCGUAGCUGGUCUGAGAGGAUGAUCAACCACACUGGGACUGAGACACGGCCCAGACUCCUACGGGAGGCAGCAGUGGGGAAUAUUGGACAAUGGGCGCAAGCCUGAUCCAGCCACGCCGCGUGAGUGAUGAAGGCCUUCGGGUCGUAAAGCUCUGUGGGGAGGGACGAACCGCUGCUGGUGCAUAUCCAGCAGCAUGACGGUACCCCCUUAGC